CCUACGGGAGGCAGCAGUGGGGAAUUUUGCGCAAUGGACGCAAGUCUGACGCAGCAACGCCGCGUGCAUGAUGACGCCUUUCGGGGUGUAAAGUGCUGUCGAGCGGGACGAAGCCCAGGGGAUGAAGAGUGUCCUGGGGUGACGGUACCGUUGGAGGAAGCCCCGGCUAACUCCGUGCCAGCAGCCGCGGUAAGACGGAGGGGGCAAGCGUUGUUCGGAAUUACUGGGCGUAAAGCGCGCGUAGGCGGUGGAUCAAGUGGGCAGUGAAAGCCCCCGGCUCAGCCGGGGAAGGGCUGGCCAAACUGGUCGACUAGAGUGCCGGAGGGGGAGGCGGAAUUCCUGGUGGAGCGGUGAAAUGCGUAGAGAUCAGGAAGAACGUCGGUGGCGAAGGCGGCCUCCUGGACGGACACUGACGCUGAGGUGCGACAGCGUGGGGAGCGAACGGGAUUAGAUACCCCGGUAGUCCACGCCGUAAACGAUGGGUACUAGGUGUGAGGGCGGAGAUCGCUUUCGUGCCGGAGCUAACGCAGUAAGUACCCCGCCUGGGGAGUACGG
This 555-nucleotide ribosomal RNA is filed under the name uncultured bacterium. RNAcentral describes it as "bacterial SSU rRNA". It matches the Rfam family "Bacterial small subunit ribosomal RNA", at positions 338 to 885 of the family's 1533-position model. The record is from RNAcentral.